UACGUAGGGUGCAAGCGUUAAUCGGAAUUACUGGGCGUAAAGCGUGCGCAGGCGGUUGGGCAAGACAGGGGUGAAAUCCCCGGGCUUAACCUGGGAACUGCACUUGUGACUGCAUAGCUGGAGUACGGCAGAGGGGGAUGGAAUUCCGCGUGUAGCAGUGAAAUGCGUAGAUAUGCGGAGGAACACCGAUGGCGAAGGCAGUCCCCUGGGCCUGUACUGACGCUCAUGCACGAAAGCGUGGGGAGCAAACAGG
This 253-nucleotide ribosomal RNA is filed under the name uncultured bacterium. RNAcentral describes it as "partial 16S ribosomal RNA". It matches the Rfam family "Bacterial small subunit ribosomal RNA", at positions 524 to 776 of the family's 1533-position model. The record is from RNAcentral.